Molecule: ribosomal RNA, 1710 nt
Filed under: Triticum aestivum (bread wheat)
Lineage: Eukaryota; Viridiplantae; Streptophyta; Magnoliopsida; Poales; Poaceae
Description: partial small subunit ribosomal RNA
Source: RNAcentral
AUGACGGUGCAGCAGCCUCCACAUGCCGGAUACAUGAUGGGCCAGCCGCUGUUGCGUGCCAGCCCUCCACCGAUGGCGGCGCUGCAUCUCCCACAGGCCGUGCACAUGGUGGCACAGCCGCCUUUGCCAGCUGGCCCCCCUCCUCUGAGGCGUCGCCGUCCUGACUACUUUGACAUGCCUUUUGGACCGCGGAUGACUGGUUUUGAGCUGGAAAUGGCUGGAUUUGAUGAAUCAAUGGGACUGCCUUAUGGGCCUUACAUAAACAAUGAGAUGCCUUCUGUUGGUUCGUAUCAAACACCCUACAUGUUGAAGGUUUCCCACCCAACUGUACUAGACGGGAGCUUGCACUGCUUCAGCUCCUUGACUCUUGCUUCUCUAGAUAUAUUUCGCCCUUUUACUGGGUUCUGUGCAGUAAGGCUGGUCAACACAGGAUAUAAUAAUCGACAUGUAAUAGCUUAUGCUGACUUUGAAACUCUUGCCCAAGCCUUCUCUGCCAUGAAGUCUCUGCAAGGUUAUUUGUUUGACAUGCAUGACCUAUACUCAGUCAAAUUGGACCUCCAGUUCCUUCCUGUUCCGUCCAAGGAUUCCUUGCGGUUUCGGGCGUGGCUCGCGUUGGCAGGGGAGGGAUGCGCUGAACUGCCCUCCGGGCAUCCUGAUUUCCGGUGGAUGCUUGGAAAUUAUGAAGAUCUUUUUGGUUGUGUUGUGCCGUACCGUGUCCUCAUCGGCGGUGGGUGCAUGUACCCGCCGCCCAUGGAGAUAGAAAAUUGCCAAUUUUGGUUGCUAAUCCCGCAGACAAAGACCGAUUCACACGGCAAUCAUUUUGUACAACUACUCUGGAGCGCAGAUCUGCUGCCUUUUGUAGUUCUGUAUGCUAAUGGGAAACCAUCCGAUGAAGGCCCUUGUGUUUCGCUGAGCAUUUAUUCAUUUCAUAUCCAGCAUCUGCCAGGUUAUUUGUUUGACAUGCAUGACCGAUACCCAGUCAAAUUGGACCUCCAGUUCCUUCCUGGUCCGUCCAAGUCACCUAGCCCACCUGUCAUUCUCUUUUGGCUAAAUUGCCACAAUUGUGUCCAUCACACUUUGGCCAACCAAGUAACCAUAUGCCAUGACUCUCGAUUCAUGUUCCUUUGUGUGCGGGCGCCGCACGGGGUUGGGGUGGUAGGAUUCCUUGCGGUUUCGGACGAGGCUCGCGUUGGCGGGGAGGGAUGCGCGAAACUGCCUGCCGAGCGUCCUGAUUUCCGAUGGAUGCUUGGGAAUUGUGAAGAUCUUUUUGGUUGUGUUGUGCCGUACCGUGUCCUCAUCGGUGGCUGGUGCGUGUACCCGCCGCCCAUGGCAGAUAGUAGGGGAGCUCUCUGUCCGUCCGCGCCGCCGGCGACGAAGGAGGAAACGACGAGGAGUCAUUUUUUUAGAAUGGGGCAUGGGAGGAUUCGAGCGGAGCAGGAAGAUGGCGAGAUGAUGAGCCUUAAUGGUGAUGAUGGCCCCUCUAGGAGACGGAGAGGGAGAUGGCGGCGGCGGCGGCAGGUGCGGCGUGGCAUCAUAUUCGCGGUCAGCGAUGGCGAGAGCGCGCCGCGUAGGAGGAUGGUUGGGAGGCUGAGCGACAGGCAGCGUCGUGGCGCAUGGCCGCACCCGCACCACAGAAAUUGCCAGUUUUGGUUGCUAAUCCCGCAGAUUCACACGGCAAUCAUUUUGUACAACUACUCUGGUCAUGAGUAA